UACGGAGGGUGCAAGCGUUAUCCGGAUUUACUGGGUUUAAAGGGUGUGUAGGCGGACUUUUAAGUCAGAGGUGAAAUCUCCGGGCUCAACCCGGAAACUGCCCCCUGAUACUAUUAGUCUUGAAUAUUGAUGAGGUGGGCGGAACGGGUCAUGUAGCGGUGAAAAUGCUUAGAGAUGACCCGGAACACCAAUUGCGAAGGCAGCUCACUGGGCAAUUAUUGACGCUG
RNAcentral lists this ribosomal RNA (227 nucleotides) under uncultured bacterium. RNAcentral describes it as "partial 16S ribosomal RNA". It matches the Rfam family "Bacterial small subunit ribosomal RNA", at positions 524 to 748 of the family's 1533-position model. The record is from RNAcentral.